CGCGCAGGCGGCUGGGCAAGUCCGAUGUGAAAGCUUCCGGCUUAACUGGAAAAUUGCAUCGGAAACUGCUCAGCUUGAAGGUGGGAGAGGGUAGCGGAAUUCCCGGUGUAGUGGUGAAAUGCGUAGAUAUCGGGAGGAACACCAGUGGCGAAGGCGGCUACCUGGCCCAUUCUUGACGCUGAGGCGCGAAAGCUAGGGAGCAAACG
This 206-nucleotide ribosomal RNA is filed under the name uncultured bacterium. RNAcentral's name for it is "partial 16S ribosomal RNA". It matches the Rfam family "Bacterial small subunit ribosomal RNA", at positions 568 to 774 of the family's 1533-position model. The record is from RNAcentral.